UGGAUUCAAGUAUUGGCGAAUGCAGCAUUUAGCUCCCAUCGCUAAAAGCCUACAACUAUAGCUUCUCGGAGGCUCUGAAGCCUCGCCGUGGGUUCAAGUAUUGGCGAGUGCGGCAAGACUCGAGACUCUGGAAAGAAGAUGUUCCCGAGGCUCUCGAUCCGACCCAUUCUGCUGCUUUUCUUGAUCGGCGGCAGCCUUCUCCUCCCCAUGGAAGCUUACUACACUUUUGGCAUAAGUAUAAUACCCUUCCGCCCAACGCCUGAAACAAGAUCUGGAAAUUGUGAGUAUCCUAUGACGAAGUGCGAGUGGUAGUGCUAUGAGACGAGAAACGUACAUGAAUCCCUUUCCUUUCUUGAUCGUUUGCCGUUCUGACCUUGCUGAACGCUUAUCAAAAUGUUUGUUUUUUCAUCAUUCCUGCAGUAGGAAAGAACGGUGAACCAGGAACCGCUGUUCCAAAAUACCGAAAGAUCCCUUGGAAACGCAGAGGCGGCUGAGAGGCGCACGUGCAGCAAGACAAGGGGAUUGUAUAGCUUGGUAGCUAUCUCCAAUCAAAAAACCCGGCGCGGUUGGGCCGAUGUGCGUGCUACUAAUUGUAUCUGUGAUCUAUGCAGCUUGUUAAACAAGUUCGUAUGCAACAUGUCAUUUCAGUUUCUUUGCCCUUCAAGGGACUCGUUAAUGUUAUACACGACAAUUGGUAUUUGCCUUGUAUAAUUUCUUUUUUGAGGAUAAUUUCCCUUCAAAAUUGAAUCGCACUUGUUUGUGGAAAGGUUAACGGAACAACCUGAUCGAUAUUUACUGUCUUCCACGGUGUUCUUAUUGCUUGUCACUCACUAUUAUGUUCAGACAACCCCGAGGGUCUUUCCCCAUAGUUGAAUUACAG
RNAcentral lists this long non-coding RNA (880 nucleotides) under Hordeum vulgare. RNAcentral's name for it is "long non-coding RNA (HVUL_LNC019807)". The record is from RNAcentral. Lineage: Eukaryota; Viridiplantae; Streptophyta; Magnoliopsida; Poales; Poaceae.